RNAcentral lists this ribosomal RNA (252 nucleotides) under uncultured bacterium. Its description in RNAcentral is "partial 16S ribosomal RNA". It matches the Rfam family "Bacterial small subunit ribosomal RNA", at positions 524 to 776 of the family's 1533-position model. The record is from RNAcentral.
UACGUAGGUGGCUAGCGUUAUCCGGAAUUACUGGGCGUAAAGGGUGCGUAGGUGGUUUCUUAAGUCAGAGGUGAAAGGCUACGGCUCAACCGUAGUAAGCCUUUGAAACUGGGGAACUUGAGUGCAGAAGAGGAGAGUGGAAUUCCUAGUGUAGCGGUGAAAUGCGUAGAUAUUAGGAGGAACACCAGUUGCGAAGGCGGCUCUCUGGACUGUAACUGACACUGAGGCACGAAAGCGUGGGGAGCAAACAGG